This 1509-nucleotide long non-coding RNA is filed under the name Nicotiana benthamiana. Its description in RNAcentral is "long non-coding RNA (NBEN_LNC007473)". The record is from RNAcentral. Lineage: Eukaryota; Viridiplantae; Streptophyta; Magnoliopsida; Solanales; Solanaceae.
AUUUCUUCCUCGACCACGACCAUGACUACGACUGGGGCCACGACCUCCUCUACGUUUAGCUUGGUAGAAGUUCGUCUCAUUCAGGGAAUGGACAAGAACCAGUAGGCCGACUUUCAUGGUUUUUCAUUAAUAGCCCAUUAUGUUGCUCGGCUAUAAGAAGAUGUGAGAAAAGUUCAGAAUACUUUUUAAAUCCCAUCUCUCGACAUUGCUGCUGCAGGAGCAUAUUCGAGGCAUGGAAAAUGGUGAAAAUUUUCUCUAACAUACAUGGUCAGUAAUAUUAUCACCACAUAAUUUCAAAACUCUGCUGCUGCAAGAGCAUAUUCGAGGCAUAGAAAGUGGUGAAAGUUUUCUCUGACAUAUCAUGGUCAGUAAUAUUAUCACCACAUAAUUUUAACUGAUAAAUGAUUCUGAACAUAGCAGAAUUAUACUCACUUAUAGAUUUAAAAUCUUGUGGCCUUAUAUGGGUCCAAUCAUAUCGUGCCUGUGGAAGAACGACCAUCUUCAGGUGGUCAUAUCUAUCUUGUAAAUUAUUCCACAGUAUGACUGGAUCUUUAAUAGUAAGAUAUUCCAUUUUCAGGCCCUCAUCAAGGUGAUGGCGUAGGAAUAUCAUUGCUUUGGCACGAUAUUCCAUUUUCAGGCCCUCAUCAAGGUCAUGGAGUAGGAAUAUCAUUGCUUUGGCACGGUUUUGGUUUGAUGCCUGAUUUUUAUCUUUGAUGGUGUCUGCCAGGCCCAUCGCAUCAAGAUGAAUUUCAGUAUCAAGCACCCAAGACAUGUAGCUUUUGCCCGAUAUAUCCAGGGCAACAAAUUCCAGUUUAGAAAGAUUUGACAUUAUUUAGGAAAAGAAAGUUCUUACCUCAGAUACUUUCAAAAUAUUUGCUCGACAAAUUCCAGUUUAGAAAGAUUUGACAUUAUUUAGGAAAAGAAAGUUCUUACCUCAGAUACUUUCAAAGUAUUUUCUCGAUAUAACAGAGUCUCGUGCUGAUAACUUGUUAUAAAAUAAAGACUACAAAGUAAAGACAAGUAUAGAGAGAGACUGAUAUAUUAUUCGAAUUCAAAAUGAUGUACAUAAUGAACUGAAUCCAUUUCUAUUUAUAGAAGAAAGGAAGAUGUUGUGUAAGCUGCUACUGCAAGCUGUAGUGUAAGCUGCUACAAUACCAGAUAUGGAUAAUGCUUUACUAAUAGUAAUGUUUAUCCAUAACGGAGUACUGUAGUGAUAAGUUCAUUAUACCCAGUAUAGAUAAUCUUCUACUAGGGGUAAUGAUUAUCCAUAACGAAGGACUGAGAGGAUAAGCUUAUUAGACACAGUAUGGAUAAUAUUCUACCGGGGGUAAUGUUUAUCCAUAACCGAGUACUGAAAGGAUAAGCUUAUUAUACCCGGUAUGGAUAAUCUUUUACCGAGGUAAUAUUUAUCCAUAACCGGGUACCGAAGUAAUAAGCUUCUCCAGGAAGCUUAUUUUCAAUAGAGUACUAAAUAGAUAAACAUAUUUACGGCGGAGUCACAUACGGAUA